UACAGAGGGUGCGAGCGUUAAUCGGAAUUACUGGGCGUAAAGCGCGCGUAGGCGGCUUUGCAAGUCGGGUGUGAAAUCCCUAGGCUUAACCUGGGAACUGCAUUCGAGACUGCAUUGCUAGAGUAUGGGAGAGGGAAGUGGAAUUUCCGGUGUAGCGGUGAAAUGCGUAGAUAUCGGAAGGAACAUCAGUGGCGAAAGCGACUUCCUGGACCAAUACUGACGCUCAUGUGCGAAAGCGUGGGGAGCAAACAGG
This 253-nucleotide ribosomal RNA is filed under the name uncultured bacterium. RNAcentral's name for it is "partial 16S ribosomal RNA". It matches the Rfam family "Bacterial small subunit ribosomal RNA", at positions 524 to 776 of the family's 1533-position model. The record is from RNAcentral.